This 1882-nucleotide ribosomal RNA is filed under the name human gut metagenome. RNAcentral's name for it is "bacterial LSU rRNA". It matches the Rfam family "Bacterial large subunit ribosomal RNA", at positions 1 to 1980 of the family's 2925-position model. The record is from RNAcentral.
UAAAGCUAAUAAGAGCGCAGGGCGGAUGCCUUGGCAUUGGGAACCGAAGAAGGACGUGGUUAACUGCGAAAAGCUGCGGCGAGUUGUAAGCGAACAAAGACCCGCAGAUAUCCGAAUGGAGCAAUCCAUAUGAGAGAAGCUCAUAUAUCAUAUACUGAAUACAUAGGUAUAUGAGGGGAACCUCCUGAACUGAAACAUCUAAGUAGGGAGAGGAAGAGAAAUCAACCGAGAUUUCGUAAGUAGUGGCGAGCGAAAGCGAAAGAGGCCAAACCGUAAUCAGCAAUGAAUACGGGGUUGCGGACUGCAAUUAGCAUUGUCAAAGCCUAGUUGAACAGGAUGGGAAGCCUGACCAAAGAAUGUGAGAGUCAUGUAAAUGAAAGGCAGAGACAGCGAGCAGGAUCCAGAGUACCGCGGGACACGUGAAACCCCGUGGGAAGCCGGGGGGACCACCCUCCAAGCCUAAAUAUUCCCCAAUGACCGAUAGCGAAGAGUACUGUGAAGGAAAGGUGAAAAGAACCCCGGGAGGGGAGUGAAAAAGAACCUGAAACCCUGUGCUUACAAGCACUGAGAGCACGUCAAAGUGUGAUCAGGUACCUUUUGUAGAAUGGUCCGGCGAGUUAUCAUAUGUAGCAAGGUUAAGGACUUAAGGUCUGAAGCCGAAGCGAGAGCGAGUCUUAACAGGGCGAGAAGUUACAUGUGAUAGACCCGAAACCGAGUGACCUAGCCAUGUCCAGGCUGAAGUGGAGGUAAAACUCCAUGGAGGGCCGAACCGACCCCCGUUGAAAAGGUGGCGGAUGAGGUGUGGCUAGCGGAGAAAUUCCAAUCGAACUCGGAUAUAGCUGGUUCUCCCCGAAAUAGCUUUAGGGCUAGCGUUGUGUUAGAUUACCGGAGGUAAAGCACUGAAUAGGCUAGGGGGCGAGAGUCUACCGACCCUUAUCAAACUCUGAAUGCCGGAUAAUUGAUGCACAGCAGUCAGACAGUGUGAGAUAAGUUUCAUUGUCAAAAGGGAAACAGCCCAGACCCACAGCUAAGGUCCCUAAUGUACGCUAAGUGGAAAACGAUGUGGAGUUGCGAAAACAACCAGGAUGUUGGCUUAGAAGCAGCCACUCAUUAAAAGAGUGCGUAAUAGCUCACUGGUCGAGUGACUCUGCGCGGAAAAUAUAACGGGGCUAAGCAUGCAACCGAAGCUUGGGAUUGUCAAAAGACAGUGGUAGGGGAGCGUCGUGUACGGGGUGAAGUCGCAUCGGAAGGAGCGGUGGACUGUACACGAGUGAGAAUGCCGGAAUGAGUAGCGAGAAUUAUGUGGGAAUCAUAAUGGCCGAAAAUCUAAGGUUUCUUGGGGAAGGUUCGUCCGCCCAAGGUAAGCCGGGAGCUAAGGCGAGGCCGAGAGGCGUAGUCGAUGCACAUACGGUAGAAAUUCCGUAACCACCGAAACUUAAGUUAGAGGGACACUUCGAGAUAGCGGAACCGCGGCGUUGGUAGACCGCGGCGAAAGGGACUGAAAUAUAGUAGGGAAGUCCGCGAUGCUCGGAGGCGAGAAAAGCUCUAAGGAAUGCUAAGGUGCCCGUACCGCAAACCGACACAGGUAGAUGAGGAGAGAAUCCUAAGGCCAACGGGAGAAGGGUUGUUAAGGAACUCGGCAAAUUGACCCCGUAACUUCGGGAGAAGGGGUGCUCCAGAGAUGGAGCCGCAGAGAAUCGGCCCAAGCAACUGUUUACCAAAAACACAGGUUUGUGCUAAAUCGAAAGAUGACGUAUACGAGCUGACGCCUGCCCGGUGCUGGAAGGUUAAGAGGAGAUGUGCAAGCAUUGAAUCGAAGCCCCAGUGAACGGCGGCCGUAACUAUAACGGUCCUAAGGUAGCGAAAUUCCUUGUCAGGUAAG